AUUGAACGCUGGCGGAAUGCUUUACACAUGCAAGUCGAACGGCAGCACGGGGGCAACCCUGGUGGCGAGUGGCGAACGGGUGAGUAAUACAUCGGAACGUGCCCAGUCGUGGGGGAUAACGUAGCGAAAGUUACGCUAAUACCGCAUACGAUCUACGGAUGAAAGCGGGGGACCGUAAGGCCUCGCGCGAUUGGAGCGGCCGAUGUCAGAUUAGGUAGUUGGUGAGGUAAAGGCUCACCAAGCCGACGAUCUGUGGCUGGUCUGAGAGGACGACCAGCCACACUGGGACUGAGACACGGCCCAGACUCCUACGGGAGGCAGCAGUGGGGAAUUUUGGACAAUGGGCGCAAGCCUGAUCCAGCCAUUCCGCGUGCAGGACGAAGGCCUUCGGGUUGUAAACUGCUUUUGUACGGAACGAAAAGGCUCUGGUUAAUACCUGGGGCUCAUGACGGUACCGUAAGAAUGAGCACCGGCUAACUACGUGCCAGCAGCCGCCGCGG
This 500-nucleotide ribosomal RNA is filed under the name uncultured bacterium. RNAcentral's name for it is "partial 16S ribosomal RNA". It matches the Rfam family "Bacterial small subunit ribosomal RNA", at positions 29 to 523 of the family's 1533-position model. The record is from RNAcentral.